GUCGUGAGAUGUUGGGUUAAGUCCCGCAACGAGCGCAACCCCUGUUCUUAGUUGCCAGCGCGUAAUGGCGGGGACUCUAGGAAGACUGCCGGGGUCAACUCGGAGGAAGGUGGGGACGAUGUCAAGUCAUCAUGCCCCUUAUGUCCAGGGCUGCAAACACGCUACAAUGGCCGGUACAAAGGGCUGCAAACUCGCGAGAGUAAGCGAAUCCCAUAAAGCCGGUCUCAGUUCGGAUUGGAGGCUGCAACUCGCCUCCAUGAAGCUGGAGUUGCUAGUAAUCCCGGAUCAGCACGCCGGGGUGAAUACGUUCCCGGGCCUUGUACACACCGCCCGUCACACCACGAAAGUCGGCAACACCCGAAGCCGGUGGCCUAACCGCAAGGAAGGAGCCGUCGAAGGUGGGGUCGGUGAUUGGGGUGAAGUCGUAACAAGGUAGCCGUACCGGAAGGUGCGGCUGGAUCACCUCCUUUCUAAGGAGCACUUCUCAGUCGUUGGUCGGCAUUCGCCGGCCCGGCUCGAGACAGUUCCCAGUUGGUGCACUGGUGGGUCAGUCGUCGUCACGACAUCGGUCGUAGGGUUCGUCCCUCCCGACGCCGUCCGGCGCUUGUCCUUGUCUUCUCUUCCGUUUUGAGGGAGUCAUCUCCUUCUGCGCACGGCAUGAGCGUUCCCCUUCGGGGUCGAGUGCUCCGCUGCCCCGGUGCGUGCGUCGGCCAGAACAUCGGCCCCGCGCAUCGUGCGUCGCCCCUUGAGAACUGCAGAGCAAGCACGAGCAUCUUGUUCUUUUUCCAAGCUACAAAGAGCCAACGGUGGAUGCCUUGGCGCCAGGAGCCGAUGAAGGACGCGUCUGGCUGCGAAAAGCUUCGGGGAGCCGCCGAGAAGGCUUUGAUCCGAAGGUGU
RNAcentral lists this small RNA (897 nucleotides) under uncultured Actinomycetes bacterium. RNAcentral's name for it is "bacterial SSU rRNA". The stretch from base 1 to 470 matches the Rfam family "Bacterial small subunit ribosomal RNA", at positions 1064 to 1533 of the family's 1533-position model. The record is from RNAcentral. Lineage: Bacteria; Bacillati; Actinomycetota; Actinomycetes.